GUAAACUUUCGUGUCCUGUCGUACCGAUAGCUUCUUUAAAAACUCAGCUAAUAUCUCAAAGAGGUUUAGUCUUUCCGAAACAUUAGUCGGAAUUGUAGUGCGCGUCGGAAAAUAAUUAAUUAAAUUGUAAAUAUUCAACAUUCCAAUCUCCACUCAUGACGACUUCAAUUCUGAGUACAAACAGUAUGGAAUACUUCAUAAUGUUCUGGAUAUUUGCAGUUGAUCAUGAAUACAUGAUCCCAUAUUAUAGUAACAAGAGUGUCUUCAAACAGAUAAGUAAACGUCUAAAGUACCUACUUCACCUUGACGUAUACAAUGUACAAUGGCGGGCUAAG
Armigeres subalbatus is the source of this 335-nucleotide long non-coding RNA. RefSeq lists it as uncharacterized. NCBI's taxonomy places the organism in Eukaryota, Metazoa, Arthropoda, Insecta, Diptera, Culicidae. The record is from RefSeq and is a predicted model, not a curated record. The transcript is spliced from 3 exons.